AUUACUUAGAAUUUUUUUGACUGUCGACUAAUAGUACAAUAACAUCGGGAUCGAAGUCGGGCUCGAUGAACAAUUAAUUUAAACAACACGCCGAAAUUCAAAAAUAUCGAAUGCCAUGUUGAUGUUGCACGGAAGGGAAGUUGGAAAGAGAGUGUCUAGAACAGGGGAAUCAUGAUUAGCAGUGGAUGGAAGAAGAAGAAGACAUUUUAAGACCCUCUGUUGCUGCAUUGUGCCUGAGAUGAUCCCCUCAGCGCUGGCGUUUGAUAACUUGGUGGAUGUAGAUGCUUAGCCAGUCAGUCACUAGGCUUGUGAAUAUGGAAUCCGGAUGCUCACAAGGACAAGAGGUGUAUGAAAAAAAAACGAAAAAACAAA
Long non-coding RNA from Saccostrea cuccullata (small rock oyster), 372 nucleotides. RefSeq lists it as uncharacterized. The transcript is spliced from 3 exons. NCBI's taxonomy places the organism in Eukaryota, Metazoa, Mollusca, Bivalvia, Ostreida, Ostreidae. The record is from RefSeq and is a predicted model, not a curated record.